UACGAAGGGAGCUAGCGUUGUUCGGAAUUACUGGGCGUAAAGGGCGCGUAGGCGGAUUGGCAAGUUGGGUGUGAAAGCCCAGGGCUCAACCCUGGAAUAGCACUCAAAACUGCCUUUCUUGAAUUCGGUAGAGGUUGGUAGAAUUCCCAGUGUAGAGGUGAAAUUCGUAGAGAUUGGGAAGAAUACCCGUGGCGAAGGCGGCCAACUGGACCGACAUUGACGCUGAGGCGCGAAAGCGUGGGGAUCAAACAGG
This 253-nucleotide ribosomal RNA is filed under the name uncultured bacterium. RNAcentral's name for it is "partial 16S ribosomal RNA". It matches the Rfam family "Bacterial small subunit ribosomal RNA", at positions 524 to 776 of the family's 1533-position model. The record is from RNAcentral.